UUUUCGUCAAUGGGCGCAAGCCUGAACGAGCGAUGCCGCGUGAGUGAAGAAGGCCUUCGGGUCGUAAAGCUCUGUUGCGGGGGAAAAAAGGCAGCAUCAGGAAAUGGGUGCUGACUGAUGGUGCCCCGCCAGAAAGUCACGGCUAACUACGUGCCAGCAGCCGCGGUAAUACGGAGGGUGCGAGCGUUAAUCGGAAUUACUGGGCGUAAAGCGCUCGUAGGCGGUAUGUCAAGUCAAGGGUGAAAUCCCCGCGCUCAACGUGGGAACUGCCUUUGAAACUGGCAAACUGGAGUGUGUGAGAGGAUAGUGGAAUUCCAGGUGUAGGAGUGAAAUCCGUAGAUAUCUGGAGGAACAUCAGUGGCGAAGGCGACUAUCUGGCACAUAACUGACGCUGAGGAGCGAAAGCGUGGGUAGCAAACAGG
This 422-nucleotide ribosomal RNA is filed under the name uncultured bacterium. RNAcentral describes it as "bacterial SSU rRNA". It matches the Rfam family "Bacterial small subunit ribosomal RNA", at positions 362 to 776 of the family's 1533-position model. The record is from RNAcentral.